GCCCACCCCUAGGUUCUUCCCUCCCCCCUUCACCAUCCAUCCAUACAUAAUCAUCUGCCUCAGCCCCCUUCUAUGCCUCUACUUCCAAGAGAGUGAGGGCUCUGAACUCUCUCGACUGCGUUCUUGAAUGAGAUGAACAUCAUUGAAGAAUCUUGUGGGCACCUUACUUUAAUAAAAGGUUUUUUUUUCUGAUUGUAAAAUUAAUGUGUUAAGUGCCAAGUUGCCGAAAGCAUCUCCAUUUUAGUCCUCUCCUGCUCCCUUAGGAUAGUAAAACUGAAAAUAAAGCAAACAAGGAUACAGAUAAUACAGACCAUAAAAACAAACAAAAAAACCCACCCUCCCAAUAAUAGCUGAAAGUAGAAUCCUAUUUGAGCUUUGAAUUCUCUGCUUCUUAAUGGCCUUGAUCAUUGUUCUCUGUGUACAUUUGUUGGGCAUUUGUAUAUCUCAUGUGAGUUUGCCUUUAAAUUUCGGGUUUUGCUUUCUUAAGUAAUCAAACAAAUUGCUCUUUUCCUAUGUGAUUUCUUCCCUGUCUUUUCCUAUUAAACAUGAGACCCAUCCCAAUCUAGA
RNAcentral lists this long non-coding RNA (567 nucleotides) under Bos taurus (domestic cattle). Its description in RNAcentral is "long non-coding RNA NONBTAT026348". The record is from RNAcentral. Lineage: Eukaryota; Metazoa; Chordata; Mammalia; Artiodactyla; Bovidae.